Bos taurus (domestic cattle) is the source of this 1711-nucleotide long non-coding RNA. NCBI's taxonomy places the organism in Eukaryota, Metazoa, Chordata, Mammalia, Artiodactyla, Bovidae. The record is from Ensembl.
CUUCUACACUGUUGGUGGGAACUUAAAUUAGUAUAAUCACUGUGGAGAAGAGCAUGGAGGUUCCCUAGAAAACUAAAAGUAGAACUACCACAUGAUCCAGCAAUCCCACUCCUGAGCAUAUAUCCAGAGAAAACCAUAUUUUGAAAGGAAACCAUAACCUGAAAUAAGCUGCAGCACCUUUACAACAGCCAAGACAUGGAAGCAACCUAAAUGUCCAUCAACAGAGGAAUGGAUAAAGAAGAUUUAGUAUACAUAUACAAUACAUAAAGCCAUAAAAGAACAAAAUAAUACCAUUCAGCCACAUGGACGGACCUAGAGAUGAUCACACUAAGGCAAAGAAAGACAAAUAUCAUAUGAUAUCACUCAUGGGAUCAAACUUCUUAAAAAUGAUACAAAUGAACUUAUUUAUAAAACAGAAAAAUACUUAAAGAUAUCAAAAACAAACUUAUGGUUACCAAAGGGGAAAUGUUAGGGGGAGGGAUAAAUCAGGAGCUUGGGAUGAACAUACACACCACUACGAAUGAGACAGAUAAGGCCCUACUGUAUAGCACAGGGAGCUCUACUCAAUAUUCGGUGAUAACCUACAUGAGAAGAGAGUCUAAAAUAGGAUGAAUGUAUGUAUAACUGAAUCACUUUGCUGUAACAUGAAACUAAUAUAACACUGUAGAUCAACUAUAUUCCAGUUAAAUUAAAAAUAAAAAAAGAGAAUGACUGCAGCAGACAAUAAAAAUGAACAAACACUGCUCUCAUCAGCAUGGAAAUUGCUAUUUCCUAAACAUUGCCUCUAUAAUGGCAUCACUUUGGUGCAAGUUGGCCAGCCAGCUCUUUGUUCAUAAGAGGUUCAUACUCUAAAUGCAUGUAAUGCUAUCUAACUCCAUCUGGUGUCCUGUUGGUCUCUGAGAGGCUCUUCCCAUGCCUGCACCUUUAUACUCAGGCCCAAUUCAGCCUGCCCACCAGUCCAUGGCCUAGGAGCCAACAGCUGGGAUGAUUAAAUGAAGAACGAGGCAUGCCUGUUCAACUUCAUUUGCUAGAUUGCUCAUUAGAUAUAUAAUGCCCUAUCUUGGCCAGAUAUGAAGUCCACUGUGACUGAGGUGGCCAUCUGUUCAGGGACGGAUCCUGUUAGAAUAAUCAGAGAUCGUGGGGCUCUGGCAGGCACCUCUUCCAGACCUGCGCGGGUGGAUGUGAACAGAGAAGAGAAGAUUGAGGCGGGGGGGUUGUUGCACACACCUUCCAGACCUGAGUCAGCCUCUCCUCCAUAAGGGACAAUCCCAGGGCACCCAGAUGCCUUCCUGAGGUGUAGGAGACAGUCAGGAGGAAACUAGAUUCUGCAUGCCACGACUAAGACGCGAAGCGACCAAAACAACGACAAAAAAAGACACAUGCUUCUGAGAAGCUAAUUAGCCAGAGCAACAGGCAGCUGAUUAUUAACCCCUGCAGUGGUGGAUCACCCUACCUGGUUUCUGGACAUCUUGACUCGAACUCUCUUCCCCAAGAAGUCCUUCAGUGGAUUCCUCAUGAGAUAAACUUUAGGCAGCUCUGGGGAAAAAAAAAAAAAAGAAAGCCAAGUAUAAUGACAUUCAGUUCAGUUCAGUCACUCAGUCGUGUCCGACUCCUUGCGACCCCAUGAACUGCAGCCCGCCAGGCCUCCCUGUUCAUCACCAACUCCCGGAGUCCACCCGAUCCCAUGUCCAUUGAAUAAUGAUAUUAACAU